This 1627-nucleotide long non-coding RNA is filed under the name Rattus norvegicus (Norway rat). RNAcentral describes it as "long non-coding RNA NONRATT009844". Lineage: Eukaryota; Metazoa; Chordata; Mammalia; Rodentia; Muridae. The record is from RNAcentral.
GUUUUUAUUUUUGAGAACAUUCUCUGAUGUGUAACUUGUUUUCAUAAGUCAUACUUUUUCUGGCUUUUUUUUUUUACAAUAUAUUCUUUAAAUAUAAAAAUCGACAAGAUAAAUACAAUUUUAUCUAGCCUAUUUGUGGUUUUUCUAAGAUCCAUCAUUGGUUUUAUAAAAAAGUACCAGGCCAGGAAGCAAUGGUGAGAGUAAUUUUCCCUUUGAGUUCUUUGAGCAUCCUCGCUAAGCAGGCGUGCAUCAUCCCCGACGUGCUUCUGCCGUUGACAGCAAGAAGAAUGUCACCACAUCUGAAAAGAUACGGCAUUGUGAUCAGAACUGCUUCAAGCCUGAAGCGCCUCAAAGUGGACUUGGGUGGCCCUAGGGCUGCCAUAUUUGUCCUUUUUAGUUCUGAUUUGAUUUCCCUCUUCCCAUAAAUUCUCCAAGCUCCACGCAGCGUGCAUCAAAGGUAUAGGAAAUUGCAAGGUGGGACCAAGGCCGGUUCUAGUUUUGGAUUUCUCUCUACCUAGCUAGUGCUCUCGUGUCUUAAUUUCUCACUCUUUAGGAAAGUAUAAGCUGCGCUUUCUUCCAAGUGGGGCCAAGUUUUACAUGUAGAAAGCAAAAUACUUGAAUAUUAGUUUUCUGAGUAAUCAUUACCUAAUUCUUCCAUCAUUAUACGCGGGUGUUCCCUCGACGAUGGAUUUGAUAAAAAAAGGUUGGUUACCACUGUAUUCUUCAUAACCUCCCACAAUGCAGAAGCCCAGGCUUCCCGCUGUGUUCCUUCGUAGUAUCACAUCCUUACAGUUAUAUAAGUACCUGAAACAGAAUGUAAUUAGUGGAUGUACAGUUGAGUUUACUAGUUGUGACUCCUUUCAUUCAUUUUUUUGGGGGACACUUUUAAAAUGAAAAAUACUGCAUAUGUCUCCAUCAGAAGUGACAGCAACUUUUUAUGCUCUUAGUCAGCUUUUGCAUUUGAUCUCUCUUUUCCAUAGCCAAAUACCCUUUCAACAAAAGGAGUUAGUAUUAUGUUCUAUUCAUGUCUCUGCUGAGAAAAAUGGCCACAUAUUUUGGUUAAGGCGCAGUAAUGAAUGCAUGAGCCAAAAGUUGGAUGUGUCUCAGUACUUCUUAUUCCCCACAGUAGAACAUACUGAGGGAAUAUCAUUUUUAUAUUCUUGGGGGCUUACAUAAUUUGUAAAGAAGACAAACAUUCUCUGAAUUAGCGAUUAAUCGCAAGGACAAUAAUUUUAACUUAUGCUAAUGAACUUAUACUCACACAGACUUAGAGAAGACUAGAGAAAGUGAAUGGAAAUUGGGCCAUAAAAUAGUGGAGCAGUUGUCGGACAGUAAGUGGCAUAGCUGAAGCAGUCAGGGGAAGGGAAGGAGCACAGCUGGCCUGAGAGCCAGUACAGCCUUCAGCUGGGAUAGCCGCGGCUAAGUGUGAGCAGCUGCACUACAGUAGACUGUCGGAAGAUGGGGUCGCUCUGGGACCCCUUGUCUGCCGCAUGUGUCUAGGAACUGCUUUUGACUGGAAGAUAGUAUUUUUUGUUGUUAGAAUUGAAGAUGUCUUGUUUAUAGACUGUACCUUAAAAUAAUCAGUUGCUUUUUGAUAAUCAAUAAAAAUGAUCUUGUGAAAUAUUAA